GCGGUCAUAGUCUAGUGGUUAUGAUUCCGCCUUCCCAUCAUAACGAAUGAGAUAGGCGGAGGUCACGGGGUAAGUUCUGCCGUUCACAAUGACUCUCGUCACAUUGUUCUAACAUCCCUCCCAGUUCGAACCCCGUUGGCCGCA
Molecule: non-coding RNA, 144 nt
Organism: Taxawa tesnikishii (nom. ined.)
Lineage: Eukaryota; Fungi; Ascomycota; Dothideomycetes; Dothideales
Source: the annotation of a GenBank genome assembly